RNA transcript from Helianthus annuus (common sunflower), 2324 nucleotides. It is a transcript of the gene named kinetochore-associated protein KNL-2 homolog, with no coding region annotated. Lineage: Eukaryota; Viridiplantae; Streptophyta; Magnoliopsida; Asterales; Asteraceae. The transcript has 10 exons. The record is from RefSeq and is a predicted model, not a curated record.
UUUACUCUAAAGUUUUUAAACCCGAGUUUGAUUUUAGCGGUUGCGAGCCCUAGUUGUUGAGAUCAGGACCUCUGAUUCCAAUGGCUUCUUGCUCUUACUUCCAGAAGACUGUCACUCUGCUAGACUGGUGGCUAACCAAACCCCCAACCAACGAUCACUAUCAAACCCUAACCCUAGGGGUUGCAGGCUUCACUUCUCAACAGAACCGGCCUGCUCGAUGUUUCUCUUCUGCGCCCAUACUCAAGAUCUUCGAUUUAUUUGAGUUGGAGACAGUUGAUGGUGUAUGCGUCAUUCUCCAGGGUUUUAUUAACAAACAACGCACCCUUGAAAAUGGAUUUUCCCCUCAGGUGUUUGAUCAUUUUUUUAUCGGGUUCCCCCCUUACUGGAAAGAAUACUGUCCCAAGAUAGAAUCUGCUGCCAAAUGUGUCACAGGAGUUCAGGAAGAAGACUCCAUUGAAGGAUAUGGUAAACCACAUAAUUCUGAUAGCUACACUGUGGAUAUGGGAGUUCAAGAUUGCAAAGACGUAAUGUUGAACAAUAAAAGUAGUAAUCCAUCCUCGGUUGAAAUUUCACAUGAGCAUAUAACUGAAAGAUCUCCUACGACAGCAGAAUUUAAGGAUGAUCCAAGUCUCGAGAUGAAUCCCGUUGACUCAUCCACACCAUCAAAGUGUUUUGGGGUUCCUAGCAGGCGCGUGACUAGAUCUAUGAAAAAGCCGGAUAGCAGUAAACAUAGUUUUCUACUAUUUAAUGGCAUUGAUCCUGGGAUUUUAGGCAGUUCUGAGAAUUUAAACAAGAAGGCUGUAAAGAUGGAAUCAAAAUGGAAACAGAUUGACCAAAAUGGUGAUGUUACUAAGGAUAAGAGAAACAACGAUGAUACUGUUGUAAGCAGUGAUUCACAUAUUAACAUAAGGAUAAGUGAUUUAGAGGAUACACACGUCACACCUAAGUGUUCUGAUCCAUCAAGUGUGGGUGUGAUAGAUGUAAAUGACGAUGUGGGAACUAACAUGAAAGGCUACAGAAACAAGAAAAAAAACAGAGUUAACAUUCCACAGAAAGAAGGUAUACCUGCAACACAUGGAACCAGUUCCAAAGCAGUCAAGACUCAGAACAGGUCUAAAACCAAACUACUGGUUAAAAGGAAACUCGUAACAAGUCCUAAAUCAGCUUUUUCAAUGCGCAAGAAGGAACGAGAUGGAAGUGCAAACAUGUUGUCGAUAGAAUCAUUCAGUGGGAAAAAAUCUAGAUCAGGAAGAGUGGUCCUACCGCCUUUGGAAUUCUGGCGCAACCAAAAGCUUGUUUAUGAUGAGGAUGGAGAGGUGUGUGGAGUCCAAGGACCUAUGUAACAACAAUGAAGAAGAGGUAGUUUGCAUGAUUUAGCAUAUAACGUAGCUAGUUUUUGGGGUGCACUAACGAUUGUUUGAACUUGACACCGAUUGAGACGGGGGCAUUUUGGUCAUUUUAAUUUUAUUAUAACAUAUUAAAGCAAGAGGACAACAAUCAACAUCUGCAGACAAACCAUCAUCUUCUUCUAACAAACCCAAACCCUAACCUGGACAACAAUCAACAUCUGUAGACCCCCGUUUCAUCUUCCCCAACGUUUCAUCUGCAGACCCUCGUUUCAUCAAACAAACCCUAUUUCAAUCUGCAGACCCCUGUUUUAUCAAAACCUAAACCCUAACCUGAACCCAAUUUCAAUCUGCAGACCCCCGUUUCAUCAAAACCUGACCUACGAACACAUCCUUAUUGCACCUAAUCAAUUCCACAAUCGCAAACGCUGAACGAGUAUUGGACCUGAACAACAAACAACAUCUGCAGAUCAUCAUCUUCUUCAAACAAACCCAAACCCUAACCUGGUCAACAAUCAACAUUUGUAGACCCCCGUUUAAUCAAAACGUGGCUCGUUCUCCGUCUUCAUCAUCGGCAUCAUCCUCAUCACUGGCAUCAUCCUCAUCACCGCCUACCUUUCACAAACCCUAGAACGAGUUUAGAGAGAGAAACAGAGGGUAAAAACUUGGGUUUUAGGUUUUAGAGAGAGAAAGAGGGGUGUUUUAGAUAAUGGUCUGCAGAUGACCGCCAUGCUGCCACCGCUUACCUUUCAUCGGCUGCAGAUUCUCUGUGUUUCACCGUCUUCACCAUCGGCAUCAUCCUCAUCACCUCUGAAUAUAGAUGUGUGUGUAGAAUGGCAUGAAGAGGAAAUCCGGCGACCGGAACUAUAGGGGAAGAGAGGAGUGUGGAUGGCGGUUAAUCUGUGUAGAGAGAGAGAGAACUGAGAGAGAGAGAGAGACAAUGAUAUGUGUUUUAGUGAGAGAGAGAGAGAGUUAUAU